Molecule: ribosomal RNA, 490 nt
Filed under: uncultured bacterium
Lineage: Bacteria
Description: partial 16S ribosomal RNA
Rfam family: Bacterial small subunit ribosomal RNA
Source: RNAcentral
AUUGAACGCUGGCGGCAGGCCUAACACAUGCAAGUCGAACGGUAACAGGAAGAUGCUUGCUUCUUUGCUGACGAGUGGCGGACGGGUGAGUAAUGUCUGUGAAACUGCCUGAUGGAGGGGGAUAACUACUGGAAACGGUAGCUAAUACCGCAUAACGUCGCAAGACCAAAGAGGGGGACCUUCGGGCCUCUUGCCAUCGGAUGUGCCCAGAUGGGAUUAGCUAGUAGGUGGGGUAACGGCUCACCUAGGCGACGAUCCCUAGCUGGUCUGAGAGGAUGACCAGCCACACUGGAACUGAGACACGGUCCAGACUCCUACGGGAGGCAGCAGUGGGGAAUAUUGCACAAUGGGCGCAAGCCUGAUGCAGCCAUGCCGCGUGUAUGAAGAAGGCCUUCGGGUUGUAAAGUACUUUCAGCGGGGAGGAAGGGAGUAAAGUUAAUACCUUUGCUCAUUGACGUUACCCGCAGAAGAAGCACCGGCUAACUCCGUG